ACGCUUCUCCUAAAGACUAAGCCAUGCAUGUCUUCGAAUAAGAGGUAGCAAUACUCUCUGAAUCUGCGAACGGCUCCGCAAACCAGUUGUAAACUAUAGCAAGCCCGCGACGUCGCCCUUUCACGAGGGCGGCCGAGCAAUAGGGAUAACCCUGGUAAUUCUGAGGCUAAUACCGCCAUGUACUUCCUGGCCGACCGGGCAACUGGAAGGCCGGAGGGCGUGCGUGUUUUUCGCGAUUUUUUACCAGGAAAGGACGCAUGUCAGGACCGCGCUAACGGAUGCCGUCUUUCGGGGCGGUUUCUAGCGGCUCUUGCUGUGUGCUUCUGACCUAUCAACUAGAUGGCAGCGUAACGGACAUGCUAUGGUUUCAACGGGUACAGAGGAUUAGGGUUCGAUCCUGGAGAGUGGGCCUGAGAGAUUGCUCAUACUUCUAAGGAAGGCAGCAGGCGCGCAACGUUCCCAUUGGACAUCGUCCGAGGGCGUUAGGGGACAUAUGAAUGGCUGCCCUUUAGGGCGGCCAAUUCAAAUGGGUUUGUUUUAAACAGGCUC
Molecule: ribosomal RNA, 549 nt
Filed under: Didymium operculatum
Lineage: Eukaryota; Evosea; Eumycetozoa; Physariida; Didymiaceae
Description: SSU rRNA
Rfam family: Eukaryotic small subunit ribosomal RNA
Source: RNAcentral